CAGACUCACACACUUUGAAAACAAACUUGUGGUUACCAAAGAGGAAAGGUGGGGGGGUACAGAUUGGGAGUUCACAAUUGGCAUAUGCACACCAUUGUAUAUGGAACAGAUGAUCAAUGGGGACCUGUUGCAUAGAACAAGGAGUCUAUAUUCUGUAAUAACCUAUAUGGGAAAUGAAUCUGAAAAAAAGAAUGGAUAUGUGUAUAUGUAUACACAUAUACAUAUACUUUGAAUCACUGUUGUACAGCAGAAAUUAUCAAAACGUAAAUCAAUUACACUUCAAUAAAGCUUUAAAAAAUGAAAAAAAAGUCACCAUAGACUUAGAAAGCUCUACUCUUGUGUUGACAUCUUACUUGCGGUAAUAAAAUUCUGUUUCCUAGCAACAAGACUAUCAUUGGUUAACCAUUCUAUUACUUUGCCCUACACAGAACAGUUGUUAAACUCUGUUGGAUUGCUAAUCAGGCUACUGCCUUCUGCAGAGAGGCAAAUACGAGCAACAAGAUAUAUACUGCAAUUCCUUAGUUUCCACUAGUCUUUUUAAACUCUAAAUUAUAUACACUUACUAUUCAAAUUAUGCAAGGAGAGAGAUCCUGAGCUAACUAGGGACUGCAGUGUAUCAUUAGCAAGGGCUACAGAGCUACUAAAGCAUCUCUGGACCAAAAUGUUAAGAUUCAUUUAAAUAUUAAAAGUGUUAGCUAUUACUGCACAUGAGAGUGGGGACAGAAAACUGUCUACUUCAGAUGUUGCUCAGUUCCUCUAUAGCACGUAGUUGACAAGGGAGCUAGAGUUUGGAGUAUUCUGUUAGCUUUUAGGACGAAUAGUUCAACAUGAUUUGAUUUCAGCAAAGUUCAUUCUGCUUAUUCUGAAUUUUUACUCAAUAUUUUAUCUCCAUAUCCAGGUCCCUCUCUGGCUUAUUAAAGCAGUUUAUAUUCCUCACACAUUUUGAAUAAUAUUUUUGAACUGGACACAAUGAAAUGUAUUUGUAAUCUCUGUACUCAAAGACUUUACUUGUGAGACAUAUUUUCUAUGAUUCUUAAAGAUAAGUAACCUCUCAAGGUAUCAUUCAUUUAUUUAUGGUAUCCCUUCUGCUUCUAGGAAUUCCCAAAUAAAUGGAUAUCAAUGACUUUUCUUACAAUAAUUCUGCUGCAUAUUUGUGUUUCUCUGAACAGACUAGUCUUUUUUGGGAGAAUUAUUUUAGGUGUUUGUGUUUUGCCUAGCUAAUAUUUCACCAUGGGAUUCUUUUAAUUGUAUUUGUCCUAGGCUUACUGAAUGAAAUUCCAAUGUAAUUUUUCUUUGAUUUUUUUUUCCCCCAAAGUAAAUGUUCCAAUUACAGUCAAUGAAGUCACCAGGAAAUUACUUUAACCCCAUGAACCUCCAUCAGCCUCUCCAAAGUUCCCUCUCCCAAAAUAAGCAUCCAAGUAUAAAUGACAGUUUCACUAUGUCAAUGCAGCUUCUAGAAACAAUUCCUAGUGAGCACAUUUUCCACCUGGAUUAUCCUUAUCCCCUUCAUACAUAUGCAUCUUCUUUUAUUACAGCUUUCUGUGUGCUCUUUCCUUUGAACAAUAUGAAGAAACAGCAUUUUACCCAGGUUUAUACCUAUGCUUUAGCCCAUUGCUCAGUGUCAAGCAUAUAUACCAGAUACACAAUAGCUGUAUAUACACAAAAUAUUUUUGGAGAAGUUCAUUUAUUUCCCCUGGGCUGAAAAAUUUUGUAUAUGGGAUAGUUUUUGUGUAUGUUGCCUACCUGACCAUUGAAUUAUACAAGUAGAUAUAAUUACAAUUUGAUUCAAUUACAAUUAGACAUAAACAUAAAAAUCUUUUAACUUUUCCUUUAAAAUAAUGCUGAAAUAAAUUGUUUCCCCUAAGUACAGUGUACAAAGGUCUUGGCCAGAUAAAACAUCUUUUCCACCAUUAAUAUUUAAAGGUACCAAUCAAUCUUUAAGAAAUGUUAAAAAAAAGAAAGGUAUCUUGCUUCAGGAUUAAAUUAUAUCCACACUAGUGACUUGGUGUUACUAGUCUGCUAAUUUUUCAGGUUAGGUCGUGACAUAAACCUAAAUGAAUGGUAGGACCCUGAAAAAUCACCUCAAAAAAUAAGAGUUCCAUUGUCAUUGGCUGACCCACUUGCUACAUGUAUAAGAGCCUGUUUUUUUCCGCCUACAAGGUCUUCUACUUGCCAUUUUCUUUGUGAGAAAAAUUUAACCAUCCCAUAUUUGAUUAGUUUGAGACCCUGUUUAAAGAACACCUACUCCAAAAGGCUUUUUUUUUUUUUUUUUUUUUUUUUUUAUUCCUUUUUUGGCUACAGCACCAGCAGAAUAUGGAUGUUCCCAAGCUAGGAAUCAAACUAGAACUGCAUCUUCAGCCUAUGCCACAGCUGCCACAAUGCUGGAUUCUUAACCCACUGUGCCAUAAUGGAAAUUCCCCAAUCAUCCUUUUUCAUUUCAUUAUUUUCAUCUCCCUUCACUCACCCUCACUGAUUUGUUAUAACACAUAUAUUUUACUAAAGUUGUUUUAGACAUCUGUCUCAUUAAGCCAAAAGCUUAUUGGGAUAAGUGACUUAGCUUUAUUUUCUUUGUAUUCUGAAAGUUUCGACUAACACCUGUACAACAAAAUGAAUUCAAAAAUAUAUGUGGUAAGCAUAUUAUUUGACAUGUGCGAAUAUUUUGGAAAGUGAGGGAACACUAUGUCUCUAUUUAAAGCAUGCAGACAUUAUAACAGUGAUCUUUUCAAAUGUCAUUUUAGAAGCACCACGACAGUAAGUGUCAAUGUUCGUGAACUCCUAGUUCAGAACUGAUUUCUGAUUUAAAAAUAAGAUCAUUCAUCCUUGUCAUUGCAAGGUAAUUAAUGUAAAUUUCAUUUGCAAAUUCUUGGCUUCAUUUCUUUUCAUUCUUUAAUCUUGUAAUCACUCCUACUAAUACUUUGAAAAGGUGACCUUAGGAAGCAAUUAACAUAUUUGUUUAGAAUAACAGAAUAAUUGCAUGUUUAUUACUGUAGUGUUUGAACAAAUAAACAGUAGAUUAACUGAGGAAGAAUGAUUUUCUCAAACUAGAAAAUUGGUGAACAAUGCUAAUACACGUAAUCUUUUUAAAGAACAAGUAAUGAAUUUAUUAAAAUAUUUAAGAAAUCUAAGCUUUUGGUAGAAACUGACAAACACUGAAUCGUUAGACUUCAAUACAGCAUUGCUUUAUCAAUUUUCUCCUUAUGGUUUUCCUUCAUUUUCUUCCUUGAUUUUUGCAUCGUUUCUUUCUGACAACGGUCUUAUUUUUUACUUUUUUUUUUUUUUUUUUUUAAGGGCUGUGCACCUAUGGCAUACAGAAGUUCCCAGGCUAGGGGUCCAAUCUGAGCUACAGCUGCUGACCUACACCACAGCUCAUGGCAACGACGGAUCCUUAACUCACUGAGCAGGGCCAGGGAUCAAACCCACAUCCUCAUGGAUACCAGUUGGGUUCAUUUCCCCUGAGCCACAAGGAAAAUUCCCUGAAAAUGGUCAUUCCUAUCUUAGGCUCACUCUUGUGCUUUUCCUAUGUCUUUAGCUAUAAUACUUCAUGUUUCCAAAGAUUCUAAAAAUCUCUUCCAUCAUUUCUUCUUUCUCAUUUCUUCUUGGACUAGUUCUUAUAAGCUUCUUCCUCAUUUUCACUUCCUAUGACACUUUUCACUUUUUCUUGCAUCUUCUAUACCACUUAUAACAUCUUUUUCUCCUUUCCCUUGUAUCACACUCUAAAUUAUAACUUGCAGUCAUUUUCAUCUCUCUUGCACCCCUUUCAGAUUCAUCUGAGCCUAUUCUUCCUCAUACUCAAACUUUCUACUUCUUUUUAGGUAUGAAACUAAUUUAGUGCCCUGUUCUUCAAGAGGCCACAUCUAAUUGCACCUGUUAUUGCCAUCGGAAAGACUGCUUUGUACAGGAAUCUCUUGCACAUAUUUCAGAGACUUAGGCUUUUUUUCCAUUUCUAAUUAAAACCCAGUUAAUGAAUUUAAGAAGAUUAAUCUGGAGUUUAUGGUAUAUGUCCUAUCUUUAAUAACUCCCAUCUUAGCUCAAUCAUUUCCAUUUUAAUGUCCAGAAUAUAAUAAUCCCAGUUGGGAAACUAAUUUUUUUUAACUUCAACAAUAAAAUAAUACUGGUUAACACCAGACAAUUAAAAAUAUGCUGGACCUUUUUUAAAAAAAUUCACAGCUUAUCUACUUUUGUAAAAAUCAAAAUAUCAGGAUUAGAAACACUUGUAGUCAGGUAUACACUUCGAUGUCCAGACUGAUGCCACUUAAUUCUUCUCAGUGAGCUCUAAAAUGACAACAGUUAUUUUUAAAAAUAGCUUCCUUUAGUAGAACAUUUGCCAGUUGCCAAGUGCCAUCCUAAAAGUUUUAAACGUAUGAACUAAGUCUUCACUUUAACACUAUGAGGUAUAUGUUAUUUUAACCUCUUUUGUACAGAUAAGAAAAUUGAGAUACAAAGAGCCUGAGUAAUUUCUCUAGGUCUCUCAGCCCAGCAAACCAACCCAGGAUCAUCUCAGACCUAGAGAGCUUACUGUCAGAACGGUUUAGGAUGGCCAAUUGUUGAAUGCUGCUGAGAUCUCUCAGACAAUUAGGGAUAAAAAUACUUGCAUGUUUUGUGGGAAUUUGUUGACACAAACAUGUAAAUAUCACAUAUAAAUUAAAGCAUCCAAGAUAAUAUGUAUUUUAGUUUGAGUCAUAUACUGAUUCUAUGAAGAUGUUACCAAUAAAAUUACACUUUUGCAUUGACUGUUAAAUAUUUGAUUACAUAACACAUAUUUACACACAGAAGUUUUUUCCACAUAUUUGUUUACAUAAAUGUCUUUAAAAAUAAAUUAAUUGCAAUAUUUCUAAUUUGAAUUAUGUAUUGUUUGUUGUGCUGUGUUGUUAUUUAUAUUGGAUUUUAGGCAAUCCAAUGUAUAGUCAUUUCAGAAUCAAAUCUACUAUUAUUACUCAUUGAUGAAACAUCAUUGAAGAUAUUGUGUUUACCACAAUAUAUUUGUAAAACUACAUAUUUAAGUGUCUACUUGUACAAAUAUAUAGAUUUUUAAAAUGUUACAUCUUAAAUGAUAAUGUUAAAACUAAGGCUGACAUUCAUGUGUAUUUACUGUAUACUAAGGAUGAUGCUAGUUCUUUGCAUGCAGUAUCUAAGUUCAUUCCUAAAACAACCCUUUGGGAUAGGUUUCAUUUUUAUCAGCUCUAGGAAGAAUAUAUACAAUAUUAAAUAACAGGUAUGUCAAGAGCAUGAACCAUUCAGAUGGUAAGCCAAACAUGAUGGAGCAGGAUUUUGAAGGCUUCUUACUAAGUCUCGUAUUGUAUUGGGGAAGAUCUGAGGAGGACAUUCUUGAGGAGAACUCAGGUGGUUGGGGUGGGAGGAAGUGUUCAGAAAGCUCAGGACAUUAAUUAUCUACCAACUAGUACCCCUCAUAAAAUGAUUUUAAUUUGUUCAUAAAAACCUUCCCAUUAGUUGCAAAGCUGUUAAAUACUAAUAUACAUUUCCAUUAAUUUUAAUGGGAAAAAAUUAUGAUGUAUUUCAUCCCAACCCAAGACACUCAAUUUUUGAAGGUAGAAAAAUAUGAACAAUUUAAAUAACAUAAAAUAUCAUGACAGCUUAUUAAACUGACCAAAAUCAUAUUUUCAUAUGACUCAACAGCAGGUGGAGGUAAGCAGAAAAGGGUACAAAGAAAUCAUGCUGGGGCAGGAAUGAAGAAAUGAAAAGCUCUGGGAUUAACUUUGAGAUAGGUGAGCAUCACUUUGAGAUAAGUAAGCCUUUUGAGAAGUACAUAGUUAUUUUGCACACAAAUUCCAAUCAAAAAUGUUUAAAUCACAUAAAACAACAACGACAAUGACAAUAAUCUUGAAGCACAAAAUACAGACAAAACCUGAGAGCACUUUCAAAUAAAUCAAACUAGUGCAGGCUCACAACAGAUGGCCAAGCAGUCAGAGAAGCAACUACCUCUUCAUACCUUUCACUUCCUGUAAUUACACAAAACAACCAUGCUAACACAGUGGUUGGGAAUUGUUUUGUACUAUAUUUUCUAACCAAAAGCUGAUUUUAAAAAAUUAAUACACAUGUCUCUGCCUGAAACUAAAGUGUCAAUAAGUUAAUAUAUUUAUUUAGAAAGGUGUGGAAUGGAAAAGGUAUUAUACUGAAAUAAAGAGGUCAUCCUAAAGUGGUGUAACUUCUUAAGAAUCAUUAUGAUUCUUAAAUAAUUGAAGAGUUAGCAAUCAAUACAGCCAUAUGGGACAUAAAAAGCUGAGUAUCACUUGAUCAUUUCCAUUUUCCACUGCAGCAAAUGAGACUAUGAGAGGUGAACUAGCAAACCCUGGUCACUAAGAUAGUAAACAGACAUAGAGUCAGAACUUCACCCCAAUUCUGCCUCAUAUCAAAGCCUAUGCUCUAAAUAAUUGUGUUAACUGUGAAGGAUCUCCUUGUUUAUGUCUAUUGCCAACAUUUGAGUGAGUAAAAAGAGAAUUAUACUGAGUUCCUUUGUGACGCAGUGAGUUAAGUAUCUGGCAUUGUCGCUGCAGUGGCCUGGGUUGUUGCGGUGGCUCAGGUCCAGUCCCUGGCCUGAGAACUUCAACAGGCUGCAG
This 6575-nucleotide long non-coding RNA is filed under the name Sus scrofa (pig). Its description in RNAcentral is "lncRNA (ENSSSCG00000054136.1)". Lineage: Eukaryota; Metazoa; Chordata; Mammalia; Artiodactyla; Suidae. The record is from RNAcentral.